This 253-nucleotide ribosomal RNA is filed under the name uncultured bacterium. Its description in RNAcentral is "partial 16S ribosomal RNA". It matches the Rfam family "Bacterial small subunit ribosomal RNA", at positions 524 to 776 of the family's 1533-position model. The record is from RNAcentral.
UACGUAGGGACCGAGCGUUGUCCGGAUUCAUUGGGUUUAAAGGGAGCGUAGGCGGACUUAUAAGUCAGUGGUGAAAGCCGAUAGCUUAACUAUCGAAUUGCCAUUGAUACUGUAGGUCUAGAGUACAGAUGAUGUUGGCGGAAUAUGACAUGUAGCGGUGAAAUGCAUAGAUAUGUCAUAGAACACCGAUUGCGAAGGCAGCUGACAAAACUGUAACUGACGCUGAGGCUCGAAAGUGCGGGGAUCAAACAGG